Molecule: long non-coding RNA, 1060 nt
Organism: Lontra canadensis (Northern American river otter)
Lineage: Eukaryota; Metazoa; Chordata; Mammalia; Carnivora; Mustelidae
Exons: 3
Source: RefSeq, a predicted model, not a curated record
GAAGGGCCGCCCUGCGCCCAUUCGCCCGCUGGUUUCGAGGCCCGGGUUGGCUGGGCGGGCAGCAGAAAGAGGCGCGCGGAUUGGUCGGGGGGAGGGAGAUUGGGGUGGGGCAGGCGAGAGCCGGCCGCUGAUUGGAUUGGCCUGGUAAAGGCCUUGAGCGCAGACCGGCUGAGCGCUGGGAGGAGGGUGGACCAAAGGCGAGACUCAGGGCCCGCGUGAUUGGCUGGGACACCAGACGUUGAUAGGAUAGGGCGCCCGGGAGAACUGGGGAGAGGAGUUCGGGGUCGCGGCCGCGGAAAGGCGGGAGGCGCCCUGCCGCUUCAGGAACCUAGCGCGGGGCACGAUGGGACGCCCCCGGGAAGGGGCGGAGCCGUGUUCGGGCUGCGGUUGGGAAAGCGCCGUCACUUCAAGGGGCGUGUUGAGGAGGGUUUCGCGGGCCCUAGCGGGGGAGGGGGGACCGUUAAAGCCUUGCACCGCGCCCACAGGAAGCUGCUCUCAUGGCCAGGCCUACUUCGUACCAGGCUCUCAGCUGGGAAGGACCUUGAAGACCAUGCGGUGCAACUUCCAGUUUGCAGGUGUGGAAACUGAAGCCCAGAGAGGCUCUAUGCCCAGCAUGAGGCUUGACCUCACACUUGGAAAGUCGAGCAUCUCCAGCUCUAUCCAAUGAGCCAGCCAGACACGCCUUAAGCCCAAUGCUGGAAUCAGAAAUUCAAUGGUGAAAGCUACAGCCACUGGAUGCCACCAAGAGAACUACAGGGGCAACCAGACCUUUUUCCAAGUAGCACUUACAACCCAGUCGACUCUCCUUCCCCUGACUCUGCCCUCAAUCCCAUUUGCCAUCACAAGUACUGGUGGAACCACCCAUCUUCUAGUUUGAUUUCCGAGGGAAAACAGUUGCUUGGCCUCAUGUGUUAGUAACACCAGGGUCUCCUAUUGCUUAUGCUUGUGUUUGAAAACAAACACCUUGACCAGUCUGUGUCAACUGGCGGUGGUACAAGAAGGCACAGUCCAUCUUGGGUUUUUUGUACUAUCAUAAGAGAAGAUAGUGUUAUAAAAAAUU